Molecule: ribosomal RNA, 576 nt
Filed under: Bacillus sp. B9(2015)
Lineage: Bacteria; Bacillati; Bacillota; Bacilli; Caryophanales; Bacillaceae
Description: bacterial SSU rRNA
Rfam family: Bacterial small subunit ribosomal RNA
Source: RNAcentral
GGAAGAGUAACACGUGGGCAACCUGCCUAUAAGACUGGGAUAACUUCGGGAAACCGGAGCUAAUACCGGAUACGUUCUUUUCUCGCAUGAGAGAAGAUGGAAAGACGGUUCAUGCUGUCACUUAUAGAUGGGCCCGCGGCGCAUUAGCUAGUUGGUGAGGUAAUGGCUCACCAAGGCGACGAUGCGUAGCCGACCUGAGAGGGUGAUCGGCCACACUGGGACUGAGACACGGCCCAGACUCCUACGGGAGGCAGCAGUAGGGAAUCUUCCGCAAUGGACGAAAGUCUGACGGAGCAACGCCGCGUGAACGAAGAAGGCCUUCGGGUCGUAAAGUUCUGUUGUUAGGGAAGAACAAGUACCAGAGUAACUGCUGGUACCUUGACGGUACCUAACCAGAAAGCCACGGCUAACUACGUGCCAGCAGCCGCGGUAAUACGUAGGUGGCAAGCGUUGUCCGGAAUUAUUGGGCGUAAAGCGCGCGCAGGUGGUUCCUUAAGUCUGAUGUGAAAGCCCACGGCUCAACCGUGGAGGGUCAUUGGAAACUGGGGAACUUGAGUGCAGAAGAGGAAAGUGGAA